GCGUGUACUUCGUCCAGGGUUUUUACAUCAUCACCUACGGCCUUGGCAUCUAUAUGCUUAACCUCUUGAUAGGGUUUCUGUCUCCUCAGAUUGACCCUGAGAUCCAUGACGGGCCUUCCCUCCCCACCCGUGGAUCCGACGAGUUCCGCCCCUUUGUUCGCCGCCUCCCCGAAUUCAAGUUCUGGUACUCUAUUACCAAAGCUUUCUGCAUUGCUUUUCUCAUGACAUUCUUUGCUGUCUUUGAUGUACCUGUCUUUUGGCCAA
This 264-nucleotide unclassified non-coding RNA is filed under the name Hevea brasiliensis (rubber tree). Lineage: Eukaryota; Viridiplantae; Streptophyta; Magnoliopsida; Malpighiales; Euphorbiaceae. The record is from RNAcentral.